Molecule: ribosomal RNA, 859 nt
Filed under: uncultured bacterium
Lineage: Bacteria
Description: bacterial SSU rRNA
Rfam family: Bacterial small subunit ribosomal RNA
Source: RNAcentral
GAGUUUGAUCCUGGCUCAGAUUGAACGCUGGCGGCAGGCCUAACACAUGCAAGUCGAACGGUAACAGGAUGUGCUUGCACAUCGCUGACGAGUGGCGGACGGGUGAGUAAUGCUUGGGAACUUGCCUUUGCGAGGGGGAUAACAGUUGGAAACGACUGCUAAUACCGCAUAAUGUCUUCGGACCAAACGGGGCUUAGGCUCCGGCGCAAAGAGAGGCCCAAGUGAGAUUAGCUAGUUGGUAAGGUAACAGCUUACCAAGGCGACGAUCUCUAGCUGUUCUGAGAGGAAGAUCAGCCACACUGGGACUGAGACACGGCCCAGACUCCUACGGGAGGCAGCAGUGGGGAAUAUUGCACAAUGGGGGAAACCCUGAUGCAGCCAUGCCGCGUGUGUGAAGAAGGCCUUCGGGUUGUAAAGCACUUUCAGUUGUGAGGAAAAGUUAGUAGUUAAUACCUGCUAGCCGUGACGUUAACAACAGAAGAAGCACCGGCUAACUCCGUGCCAGCAGCCGCGGUAAUACGGAGGGUGCGAGCGUUAAUCGGAAUUACUGGGCGUAAAGCGCACGCAGGCGGUUUGUUAAGCUAGAUGUGAAAGCCCCGGGCUCAACCUGGGAUGGUCAUUUAGAACUGGCAGACUAGAGUCUUGGAGAGGGGAGUGGAAUUCCAGGUGUAGCGGUGAAAUGCGUAGAUAUCUGGAGGAACAUCAGUGGCGAAGGCGACUCCCUGGCCAAAGACUGACGCUCAUGUGCGAAAGUGUGGGUAGCGAACAGGAUUAGAUACCCUGGUAGUCCACACCGUAAACGCUGUCUACUAGCUGUGUGUGCCUUUAAGGCGUGCGUAGCGAAGCUAACGCGCUAAGU